CGGCGGACGGGUGAGUAAUGUCUGGGAAACUGCCUGAUGGAGGGGGAUAACUACUGGAAACGGUAGCUAAUACCGCAUAACGUCGCAAGACCAAAGAGGGGGACCUUCGGGCCUCUUGCCCUCGGAUGUGCCCAGAUGGGAUUAGCUAGUAGGUGGGGUAACGGCUCACCUAGGCGACGAUCCCUAGCUGGUCUGAGAGGAUGACCAGCCACACUGGAACUGAGACACGGUCCAG
This 235-nucleotide ribosomal RNA is filed under the name uncultured bacterium. Its description in RNAcentral is "partial 16S ribosomal RNA". It matches the Rfam family "Bacterial small subunit ribosomal RNA", at positions 96 to 334 of the family's 1533-position model. The record is from RNAcentral.